This is an RNA transcript of Tripterygium wilfordii, 5495 nucleotides long. It is a transcript of the gene named ENHANCER OF AG-4 protein 2-like, with no coding region annotated. The record is from RefSeq and is a predicted model, not a curated record. Lineage: Eukaryota; Viridiplantae; Streptophyta; Magnoliopsida; Celastrales; Celastraceae. The transcript has 13 exons.
UUCAUUAUAUAUUUUAAAUAUUGUGUAGAAUGAUUUUGAGCUUAUGAACCCAAUAUACAAUCGAGACGACGAGAACGAAUGAAAAAGACAUGAACCAUAUACGCCGCGUAACCGCCGACAAUCCUCGCUCGAUCGCGCACCACCGGUAGCGUGAAUGCCCGAACUAGUCCAAUUAAAAUCUCAAAAAAUCAAAAUUAAACCUGCAUCCAAUACUUGCUCAGAUACUCUCUUCUUCCCAUCUCCGUCUCUCUCGACCGCCUCAAUAUUUUCCUUCUCCCCACAGUUGUUAAUGCGAAACCUACCCUCUGUUUCUCGUAUUCAAAUACUAUAGUAAUCCCCUCGCUGGAACCCUACCGGACCGGUGGUUGCCGGUUGGAUUCUGGCUAGCAUUCCAGGAUUUUUGUUGGGGUUUUGGAUUUCUUGAUUCGAUUCGGUGCGCUGCCUGUUUGGGAGUACAACGGUGUUUGAGGAUUUUGUGUUUUUUUGGGGUUGCGUGUCUUUGCGUGAUCAGUGCCUAUGGCUCCGGGCCGUAAAAGAGGAGCGAACAAGGCUAAGGGCAAUAGAAAGUUAAGUUUGGGCGAUCUCGUUCUCGCCAAGGUCAAGGGACACCCCUUCUGGCCGGCUAAGAUAAGCCGGCCUGAAGACUGGGAUAAAUCUGCUGACCCGAAGAAAUAUUUUGUUCAAUUUUUUGGAACUGAAGAAAUUGCUUUUGUUGGCCCUGCCGAUAUUGAGGCAUUCACGAAUGAGGCAAAGAGUAAAUUGAUUUCACGGUGUCAAGGUAAACCCAAGCUAUUUUCCCAAGCAGUGAAGGAGAUAUGUGCAGCAUUUGAAGAGUUGCAUAAAGAAAAACCGAGCGCUUUGAGAGGCGAUACUGAUAGGUCUGCUCCUGGUUGCGAGUUUCCUUCUGUUGAUAGGAUAGAAGAUGAUGGUAUAGAAGUUGAGUUAAAAGAUGAAGCAGGUCCAGUGAAACAUGGAGGAUUAAGUGAUGUUGGAACUAAGUUGGAGCACAACUCUUACCGACAAGUUGAACCUGAGAGUGAAGACGAAAAGCCAACUGUUUCAUGCCCAGCAAAUGACAGUGCAUCUCCGAUUACAUCUUCUGGAAAUGAAGCUAAUGUAUCUGAUUAUGCACAAGCAGAGGAAGCAUUGUCCAUGUCUAGUGGGGCCAGUCCUUCCAAAGUAAAGGAUGAUUCGGCUGGUGAUCUUAUUGAUGUUAAAAGUAUUCAGCAGCCUGAUAAUGGGCGACAGGCAGUGGCAAAUGGUCACAAGUCAAAGAAGUUGGUAGGUUUUUCCAGAAGGGGAAAAAGUAGUAGCUCGAAGGAAGCUUCAUUGAAAGCUAAUAGUUCUGGUGUUCGUACUGAUGUUCUGGAUUCAGAUGAGCUGUUGAAAGAUGGAAUAAGCGGCAAAAUUUCCUCUGUUGGGCGCAUGAAGGAUUGUUCCCCGGAUGCUGUCAAAUCAAAUUCUGAUAUCACUGGCAAUAAGAAAGCGAUAGACCUAGCGAAGGCCAGAAAAAGUUCCAAGGUAUCACAUGAAAUACAGAAAAAUGUUGGUUUAAAGAGUGAGCUCUUGGAAAAGAAAAAGAGAGCUCAAUCUGGACUUGGAAAACCAGUGCAGGGAGAUAAUGAGGUUCUCCAUCCAACCAAAAGGGCUAAGCGGAUUGAUGGGUGUGAUGCUGCCAUGAAGGGUUCUCACCAGAAAACCGUGAAGAGAGAUUCAGCAAGUUCUAAGCCUGCUGGAAUGCAAGAAUCAGAGUUGACAAGAUCUACAUCAAGAAUUAAAUCAGAAGAUCCAGCGCAAAAAGUUAAUGCUGGAUCUGAUGAUUCUGGCGAUGAAACCGUACUUCCACUGACAAAGCGUCGAAGACGUGCCUCUGAGGCCAUGUCUGAUUCUGCCACUCUUAAAUCUGAAGAUCCAGUAGACAAAAGUUCUCUGGAGCUGAAGAAUUCCAGUAGCAAUAAAAUUCUGCUUACUCAACCUCCUAGAAGGAGGAGAGCAGUACGAAUUGAGGAAGAUGAUGAUGAUAACCCCAAAACUCCAGUUCAUGGGGGAUUGGGCGGAAAUUUUAAAGCACCUACAUCUGUUUGUGAAACUUCAAGACCUGCUGAAACACAAUAUGCUAGUUCCCUUAAUGCUGAGCAGAGUGCGAAGGAUCCCACAUGUCUUAGGCACAUUGCUUCAAAGGAAUCAUCCUUGCAAUUUACCAAUGAGUCUCUGUUACUGGACCGAUUAGAGAGACCUGAUACUCGUGCUUUUCUUAGUCCGGUAAAAUCAGAACCAGAGCAUUCAUCAUCCAAGGAGGUCAAAUCAAUUUUGAUUUCUCCGAAGGAAAAAUCAGUCCUUAUUUCCCCUAAGAAGUCUCCUCACUUGUUCCCUGGUUCCAAACCAAUUGUUCAGCAGCAUAAAACUAUUAAAGCUCAGGUUAAAGUUGCUGGUACUGGCAGUCAGAAAAAGGCCUCGGCUGUGUCUAAUAAUAGUUUGGGAGUGAUUUCUCAUCCUGUGAAUGCUAGCCAAAACGAGGUAGCAAGUCAAAGAAGUAGGCAAACUUCUUCUGGAGAAAGACCAAGAACCUUCCCAAAAACAAUAUCACGGUUGACUGAGCCUACUGUUGUAACUGAAACCUCAACUGGAUAUCAUUCAUCUUCUGAAAUAUUUGAAGCCGGUCGUGAAGAUAAAAUUAGUUUAUUGAUCGACUCGAAGACGGCCGACACUGUUACUUCUAUGAAGAAUCUUAUAGCUGCCGCUCAGGCCAAAAGGAAACAAGCUCACUCGCAACAAUUCUCUCUUGCAAAUCCUUCUUCUUUUGCCCCUUCCACUGAUACCCAAGGACAUAGCCCCAGCCCCUCUAAACUUCAGCCUUAUUUCUCUGGCACCAGUUUACAGGCUGAGUUACAGGUAUCUCAAACUAUUUUUACUUCACCAUCAACUCAUGGCCAUCAGUCAGCAUCACGAAAUGAACCUGAUAACGAGGAAGUGGAGGAGAGGAGAGUUAGUUCAGGAUAUAGGUCUGCUGGAGGUUCACUGAGUGGUGGUACUGAGGCAGCUGUAGCCCGUGACUCUUUCGAAGGAAUGAUAGAAACUUUGUCAAGAACUAAAGAAAGUAUUGGAAGAGCAACUCGUCAUGCAAUUGAUUGUGCCAAAUAUGGUAUUGCAAAUGAGGUUGUGGAACUUCUCAUCCGGAAGUUGGAGAGUGAGCCUAGUUCUCAUCGUAAAGUUGACCUCUUCUUUCUCGUGGACUCGAUCACCCAGUGUUCCCAUAAGGAUAAAGGUAUUGCUGGAGUUUCUUACGUCCCUACGAUUGAAGCAGCUCUGCCCCGCCUUCUGGGUGCUGCUGUUCCUCCUGGAUCUGGUGCUCGUGAAAAUCGCCGUCAGUGUAUGAAGGUUUUGCGUUUGUGGCUUGAGAGAAAAAUCCUUCCUGAAUCCGUACUGAAGCGCUAUAUGGAUGAUUUUGGGGUUUCAAAUGAAGAAACAGGUUCUGGGUUUUCAUUUAAACGACCAUCUAAAGCUGAACGUGCUGUGGAUGAUCCCAUUAGAGAAAUGGAGGGCAUGCUUGUUGAUGAGUAUGGCAGUAAUGCUACAUUUCAAUUGCCUGGCGGCUUUUUGUCUUCUCGUGUAUUUGAAGAUGAUGAAGACGAUUUCCCAAGCAAUUUCCCCAGGGAAGCAGGUGAUUUAUCACCAGAUGAACCACCUUCUGUGAUUGGAGAAUCAGAAACUCUUGUUGUUACUCCAAAUGACAAGCGGCAUUGCAUCUUAGAGGACGUGGAUGGUGAGCUAGAAAUGGAGGAUGUUUCUGGACACUCAAAGGAUGAUGGACCUUUGUUUGCAAGCUGUGUUUCCGAAUUGGGUUCACAGCGUAUGGGGUCGGAUAGGAUAGUGGAGUCAGCUUCAAAUAAUUCCCCCUUACCAGAGGGUUCACCACCAUUACCGCCGGACUCUCCUCCUCUGCCCCCACCUUUGCCUCCUUCCCCACCUCUCCCACCCCCAACUCUUCCACCGCCUCCACCCCCAUCAUCUCCAUCACCCCCACCACCACCUCCCCCCACUCUUCCAUCACAGCCACCCCCUCCAGCAGCACCUUCAGGUCGUCCACCACCACCAUCAGGGCCUCCAUUUUCGGUUAUACCUCAGCCAUCAGUACCAACUCAGCCUGCAUUGCUGGCCCAACCAUUGUUACACCCUCCAGCACCGCUUCGGUCUUCACCGCAGCUGGCAUAUCAAGCACCUGUACCUCAUGAGUUUUGUUCUUCUGGAGGUAACCAAAUUGGCCCAGUUUCUGGAAAUAGUUCACAUGGUGUUCAUGUUGAUUCUGUUACAAAAACUGACGUGUUCCCACAGCAAUCACCUUACUUUGUGCCAACAGGGGUUUGCAGUUCUCAAGAACUUUCCGGAUUUAAUUCUUCAAGGCGAAUGGAUUAUGGACAUAAUGACAUGUAUUUAAACCCUCAAGCUUCUCAACCAAGUCCACAGUUUCAACCAAGUACUACAUCUUUUGUGCAAAGAGCUUUGCAUCCAAGCAUUCCUCAAGUUUCAUCCAACCAUUUCUCUUAUCCAAAUCCUGCAAAUCAGCAGCAUCCUCAGCAUUCUUAUCCCCCUCCAUAUCAUUUACCAUCUCAUCCUGAUGGGCAUAGGCGAUUUGUCCCUACUGAUGAACAACGGAGGAUGGUAUCUAGUGAAUUUAGUGCAGAUAAUUCACGAGGGAUGUGGAUGGGUGGAAGGAGAACUCCAUCUAAUUCGGGGCCCUCAUAUGUCCAUGAAGGUUACUUUCGACCACCCCUGGAAAGGCCAUCUGCAAAUAACAUGAGCUUUCAGCAUCCUGUGCCUAACAACUUACAAGCUGGUGCUCCAAACCCAGGGCAUGGUGUUUCGCAGAUUUUGCCAUGUGGACCGGACAUGCCUGCCCUUAAUUGUUGGAGACCAACGUAAGAAUGUCCCUGAAGCCUAUUCACAACUCAUUUCUGUGGUCACUGCGAAAGGCUAUGGAUAUGCAUUAUAAUAUCUCCUCCUCAGAUGGUCCUUGUCAUGGACAAAUUCUAUCAGCCACUUGAAGCAAUGCUAGAGAACUUGUGGACACUCUUGGCAGGACUCUGUAUAUUGUAAUUUUUCCUGACAAUGUAUCCACCGAACGUUGGCUUUGAAGUAUAGGUCCAUUUUUCUGACUUGUUUAUGGAGUAUCAAAUUGCUGAUGUUACUAGGUGUUAUUUCCAGCUAAGAAGUGGAUGUUAGCUUACUGCAUUGUCCAAUACUUGACAACAUUGAUGGAGUUCAGAUCACUCUAGUCGAAUUCAAUCAACUUUAACAUUUGGAUGCUUCUCCUAGAAUUGCACUGUAGUCUGAUACUGGGUUACGCAAAUGGAGUUAUGGAGGAAAUGUGGUUAGCUAUUCUCUUUCUUUCACCUUAUAUUAGUUUCUAUGAGUACCUUGGAGUUUCAGAUUGCUCUUGAUUGGCUUAACUUUUUUGAAGUUACUUGAAUGCUGAUAAUUAGAUUACAUAUAGAAGC